Molecule: ribosomal RNA, 253 nt
Filed under: uncultured bacterium
Lineage: Bacteria
Description: partial 16S ribosomal RNA
Rfam family: Bacterial small subunit ribosomal RNA
Source: RNAcentral
UACGAAGGGGGCUAGCGUUGCUCGGAAUUACUGGGCGUAAAGCGCACGUAGGCGGCUUUCUAAGUCGGGGGUGAAAUCCUGGAGCUCAACUCCAGAACUGCCUUCGAUACUGGAGAGCUCGAGUCCGGGAGAGGUGAGUGGAACUCCUAGUGUAGAGGUGGAAUUCGUAGAUAUUAGGAAGAACACCAGUGGCGAAGGCGGCUCACUGGUCCGGUACUGACGCUGAGGUGCGAAAGCGUGGGGAGCAAACAGG